This 305-nucleotide ribosomal RNA is filed under the name uncultured bacterium. Its description in RNAcentral is "bacterial SSU rRNA". It matches the Rfam family "Bacterial small subunit ribosomal RNA", at positions 338 to 660 of the family's 1533-position model. The record is from RNAcentral.
CCUACGGGGGGCAGCAGUGAGGGAUAUUGGUCAAUGGGGGAAACCCUGAACCAGCAACGCCGCGUGAGGGAAGACGGUUUUCGGAUUGUAAACCUCUGUCCUCUGUGAAGAUAAUGACGGUAGCAGAGGAGGAAGCUCCGGCUAACUACGUGCCAGCAGCCGCGGUAAUACGUAGGGAGCAAGCGUUGUCCGGAUUUACUGGGUGUAAAGGGUGCGUAGGCGGCCUUGCAAGUCAGAAGUGAAACCCAUGGGCUUAACCCGUGACCUGAUUUUGAAACUGUAGGGCUUGAGUGAAGUAGAGGCAG